CCUCCUUAAAGAGAAGAUCUCUCUGAUGUCUACCCUUUGCCCUCUCCAAUCCAAAGGGGGAGAGAGGUACUUCCUCCAGGAAGAUGAGUUUCUGGAGACAGGAGGGAAGUUCCAGUGAUUAACCAUGUGGAAAAUGAAAUAUCAAGAUGUGUACUACCUUACCCCACAGGAUUACGAGUCAUCCAAGUCCAGUGGUGAGGCAAAAGUCAAGACAACAGGUUGCAAUGGAUGACCUCAUCAUCUUCAAUGUCUGACUAAGCUCCUCCAC
RNAcentral lists this long non-coding RNA (268 nucleotides) under Monodelphis domestica (gray short-tailed opossum). RNAcentral describes it as "lncRNA (ENSMODG00000049431.1)". The record is from RNAcentral. Lineage: Eukaryota; Metazoa; Chordata; Mammalia; Didelphimorphia; Didelphidae.